UGGUCAAAGAACGAAUCGUCGAAUCGGAUGUCUGUAUUAUUUGAUCAGAAAUUCGAAUCGACAUUCGACCUGUGGCCAU
Molecule: microRNA precursor, 79 nt
Filed under: Enterobius vermicularis (human pinworm)
Lineage: Eukaryota; Metazoa; Nematoda; Chromadorea; Rhabditida; Oxyuridae
Description: mir-5360 microRNA precursor family
Rfam family: mir-5360 microRNA precursor family
Source: Rfam by way of RNAcentral